GUCUUCGUGGCUCAGUUGGUUAGAGCGUUGGUCUCAUACGGUCGUAUGAUUCUCUAGGACACUAGAGGAAUGCCCAAUCCAAAGGUCGUGAGUUCGAGUCUCACCGAGGACA
Molecule: non-coding RNA, 112 nt
Organism: Diaporthe citri
Lineage: Eukaryota; Fungi; Ascomycota; Sordariomycetes; Diaporthales; Diaporthaceae
Source: the annotation of a RefSeq genome assembly